Molecule: ribosomal RNA, 270 nt
Filed under: uncultured archaeon
Lineage: Archaea
Description: partial 16S ribosomal RNA
Rfam family: Archaeal small subunit ribosomal RNA
Source: RNAcentral
CAGCACCUCAAGUGGUCAGGAUGAUUAUUGGGCCUAAAGCAUCCGUAGCCGGCGCUGUAAGUUUUCGGUUAAAUCUGUACGCUCAACGUACAGGCUGCCGGGAAUACUGCAGCGCCAGGGAGUGGGAGAGGUAGACGGUACUCGGUAGGAAGGGGUAAAAUCCUUUGAUCUAUUGAUGACCACCUGUGGCGAAGGCGGUCUACCAGAACACGUCCGACGGUGAGGGAUGAAAGCUGGGGGAGCAAACCGGAUUAGAUACCCGAGUAGUCC